GGAGAGAGGACAUUGGCCUCCCUACAGGAAGCAUUGAGGGGAACUCCACCCUGGCCGCUGGUCUUCAGACUGGCUCACCAAGUGGCUCUGGGUAUAAACUUCCUCCACACUCUGCCCCGACCCGUGCUCCACCAGGACCUGAAGCCCCAAAACGUGCUGCUGGACGACGCUCUCAAUGCCAAGCUUACAGAUUUUGGCCUUGCCCGAUUUCUUGCAGCGUCACGCAGGUUUCCAAGGACAGUGGACCAGUAGGAGGGACGCUAUCAUACAU
Molecule: long non-coding RNA, 271 nt
Organism: Etheostoma spectabile (orangethroat darter)
Lineage: Eukaryota; Metazoa; Chordata; Actinopteri; Perciformes; Percidae
Exons: 3
Source: RefSeq, a predicted model, not a curated record